Molecule: ribosomal RNA, 468 nt
Filed under: uncultured bacterium
Lineage: Bacteria
Description: partial 16S ribosomal RNA
Rfam family: Bacterial small subunit ribosomal RNA
Source: RNAcentral
GACGAACGCUGGCGGCGUGCUUAACACAUGCAAGUCGAACGGAAAGGCCCUGCUUUUGUGGGGUGCUCGAGUGGCGAACGGGUGAGUAACACGUGAGUAACCUGCCCUUGACUUUGGGAUAACUUCAGGAAACUGGGGAUAAUACCGGAUAGGAGCUCCUGCUGCAUGGUGGGGGUUGGAAAGUUUCGGCGGUUGGGGAUGGACUCGCGGCUUAUCAGCUUGUUGGGGGGGUAGUGGCUUACCAAGGCUUUGGCGGGUAGCCGGCCUGAGAGGGUGACCGGCCACAUUGGGCCUGCGAUACGGCCCAGACUCCUACGGGGGGCAGCAGUGGGGAAUCUUGCACAAUGGGCGGAAGCCUGAUGCAGCAACGCCGCGUGCGGGAUGACGGCCUUCGGGUUGUAAACCGCUUUCGCCUGUGACGAAGCGUGAGUGACGGUAAUGGGUAAAGAAGCACCGGCUAACUACGUG